RNAcentral lists this long non-coding RNA (241 nucleotides) under Capsicum annuum. RNAcentral describes it as "long non-coding RNA (CANN_LNC017571)". The record is from RNAcentral. Lineage: Eukaryota; Viridiplantae; Streptophyta; Magnoliopsida; Solanales; Solanaceae.
AUGCAUACAACCAUUAGAGCAUAAAGUAAAAAAACUUACCACGACGUCCCAUACCACCGGGAAGUACACCCAAAAGAACAUAAAGUAAAAAACUCAUCACGACAUCCCAUACCACUAAAGAGUGUAUCAAUAUAUCAAACAUCAACUUAUCAAGAUAUUUGUAUAACCAACUCACAUUUAUCCACGGUUUCCACAUUUCCCAUCAACGAUCAUUUGCCAAGAUCCAUAAUCAUCAUCAAUU